This 683-nucleotide ribosomal RNA is filed under the name uncultured bacterium. RNAcentral describes it as "bacterial SSU rRNA". It matches the Rfam family "Bacterial small subunit ribosomal RNA", at positions 72 to 750 of the family's 1533-position model. The record is from RNAcentral.
UGAGGUAGCAAUAUCUCUAGUAAAGUGGCGCACGGGUGAGUAACACGUAGGCAAUCUGCCUUUAGGACGGGAAUAAUUCAGCGAAAGCUGGACUAAUACCCGAUAAUGCAGCGGCACCGCAUGGUGACAGUUGUUAAAUCCCGCAAGGGGCCUAUUGAUGAGCCUGCGUCUGAUUAGCUAGUUGGCGGAGUAACAGCCCACCAAGGCGACGAUCAGUAGCUGGUCUGAGAGGAUGAUCAGCCACACUGGAACUGAGACACGGUCCAGACUCCUACGGGAGGCAGCAGUGAGGAAUAUUGCGCAAUGGCCGAAAGGCUGACGCAGCGACGCCGCGUGAAGGAUGAAAUCCGUUAGGAUGUAAACUUCUUUUGCUGGGGAUGAAUUUUCCGCUUCGGCGGGAGUUGACCGUACCCAGCGAAUAAGGAUCGGCUAACUACGUGCCAGCAGCCGCGGUAAUACGUAGGAUCCGAGCGUUGUCCGGAAUUACUGGGUGUAAAGGGCGUGUAGGUGGGCCUUUAAGUCGGUGGUGAAAUCUUGCAGCUCAACUGCAAAACUGCUUCCGAUACUGGAGGUCUUGAGUGCGGCAGAGGGAGAUAGAAUUCAUGGUGUAGCGGUGAAAUGUGUAGAUAUCAUGAAGAAUACCGGUAGCGAAGGCGGUCUCCUGGUCCGUAACUGACACUGAG